GGGUUGUGAGGUUAAGCGACUAAGCGUACACGGUGGAUGCCCUGGCAGUCAGAGGCGAUGAAGGACGUGCUAAUCUGCGAUAAGCGCCGGUAAGGUGAUAUGAACCGUUAUAACCGGCGAUUUCCGAAUGGGGAAACCCAGUGUGAUUCGUCACACUAUCAUUAACUGAAUCCAUAGGUUAAUGAGGCGAACCGGGGGAACUGAAACAUCUAAGUACCCCGAGGAAAAGAAAUCAACCGAGAUUCCCCCAGUAGCGGCGAGCGAACGGGGAGGAGCCCAGAGCCUGAAUCAGCAUGUGUGUUAGUGGAAGCGUCUGGAAAGGCGCGCGAUACAGGGUGACAGCCCCGUACACAAAAGCGCAUGUGUUGUGAGCUCGAUGAGUAGGGCGGGACACGUGGUAUCCUGUCUGAAUAUGGGGGGACCAUCCUCCAAGGCUAAAUACUCCUGACUGACCGAUAGUGAACCAGUACCGUGAGGGAAAGGCGAAAAGAACCCCGGCGAGGGGAGUGAAAAAGAACCUGAAACCGUGUACGUACAAGCAGUGGGAGCACAGGUUUACCUGUGUGACUGCGUACCUUUUGUAUAAUGGGUCAGCGACUUAUAUUCUGUAGCAAGGUUAACCGUAUAGGGGAGCCG
This 636-nucleotide ribosomal RNA is filed under the name Salmonella enterica subsp. enterica serovar Derby. RNAcentral describes it as "partial 23S ribosomal RNA". It matches the Rfam family "Bacterial large subunit ribosomal RNA", at positions 1 to 668 of the family's 2925-position model. RNAcentral also lists the same sequence under 1 other name. The record is from RNAcentral. Lineage: Bacteria; Pseudomonadati; Pseudomonadota; Gammaproteobacteria; Enterobacterales; Enterobacteriaceae.